This 425-nucleotide ribosomal RNA is filed under the name uncultured bacterium. RNAcentral's name for it is "bacterial SSU rRNA". It matches the Rfam family "Bacterial small subunit ribosomal RNA", at positions 86 to 507 of the family's 1533-position model. The record is from RNAcentral.
GGGUGGCGAGUGGCGCACGGGUGAGUAAUACAUCGGAACGUGUCCUGUUGUGGGGGAUAACUGCUCGAAAGGGUGGCUAAUACCGCAUGAGACCUGAGGGUGAAAGCGGGGGAUCGCAAGACCUCGCGCAAUUGGAGCGGCCGAUGCCCGAUUAGCUAGUUGGUGGGGUAAAGGCUCACCAAGGCGACGAUCGGUAGCUGGUCUGAGAGGACGACCAGCCACACUGGGACUGAGACACGGCCCAGACUCCUACGUNAGGCAGCAGUGGGGAAUUUUGGACAAUGGGGGCAACCCUGAUCCAGCCAUGCCGCGUGCAGGAUGAAGGCCUUCGGGUUGUAAACUGCUUUUGUCAGGGACGAAAAGGACCGUGUUAAUACCAUGGUCUGCUGACGGUACCUGAAGAAUAAGCACCGGCUAACUACGUG